GAUGAACGCUAGCGGCAGGCUUAAUACAUGCAAGUCGAGGGGCAGCACGGUUAGCAAUAACUGGUGGCGACCGGCGCACGGGUGCGUAACACGUAUACAAUCUACCUUAAACAGGGGGAUAGCCUUUCGAAAGAGAGAUUAAUACCCCGUAAUAAAUUGAACGGCAUCGUUUGAUUUUGAAAGCUCCGGCGGUUUGAGAUGAGUAUGCGUCUGAUUAGCUAGUUGGUGAGGUAACGGCUCACCAAGGCGACGAUCAGUAGGGGAUCUGAGAGGACUAACCCCCCACACUGGUACUGAGACACGGACCAGACUCCUACGGGAGGCAGCAGUAAGGAAUAUUGGUCAAUGGAGGCAACUCUGAACCAGCCAUGCCGCGUGCAGGAUGACGGCCCUAUGGGUUGUAAACUGCUUUUAUACAAGAGAAAACCCUGGUACGUGUACCAGGUUGAUAGUAUUGUAAGAAUAAGCAUCGGCUAACUUCGUGCCAGCAGCCGCGGU
Molecule: ribosomal RNA, 498 nt
Filed under: uncultured bacterium
Lineage: Bacteria
Description: bacterial SSU rRNA
Rfam family: Bacterial small subunit ribosomal RNA
Source: RNAcentral